RNAcentral lists this ribosomal RNA (451 nucleotides) under uncultured bacterium. Its description in RNAcentral is "bacterial SSU rRNA". It matches the Rfam family "Bacterial small subunit ribosomal RNA", at positions 29 to 506 of the family's 1533-position model. The record is from RNAcentral.
GCGAACGCUGGCGGCGUGGAUAAGGCAUGCAAGUCGAGCGAUACCCGCAAGGGUUAGUGGCGAACGGUCGAGUAACACGUAGACAACCUGCCUCCGCAGUGGGGGAUAACCGCCCGAAAGGGCGGCUAAUACCGCAUGUGGCCUGAAAGUGAUGCUUUCAGUGCUAAAGGAGCAAUUCGCUGGGAGAUGGGUCUGCGGCCUAUCAGGUAGUUGGUGGGGUAACGGCCUACCAAGCCGACGACGGGUAGCUGGUCUGAGAGGAUGAUCAGCCGGACGGGGACUGAGACACGGCCCCGACUCCUUCGGGAGGCAGCAAUGAGGAAUCUUGCACAAUGGGCGCAAGCCUGAUGCAGCGACGCCGCGUGGGUGAGGAAGUUCUUCGGAAUGUAAAGCCCUUUUACCGGGGACGAUUAAUGACGGUACCCGGUGAAUAAGCCCCGGCUAACUACGU